This 169-nucleotide RNase P RNA is filed under the name Chloroflexota bacterium. RNAcentral's name for it is "Chloroflexi bacterium partial RNase P RNA component class A". It matches the Rfam family "Bacterial RNase P class A", at positions 216 to 367 of the family's 367-position model. From Rfam's summary of the family: Ribonuclease P (RNase P) is a ubiquitous endoribonuclease, found in archaea, bacteria and eukarya as well as chloroplasts and mitochondria. The record is from RNAcentral. Lineage: Bacteria; Bacillati; Chloroflexota.
CCUGGAGCAAGGUCAAAUAGGGGGACGCUUCGGCCCUUGUGGUCGGAACUGGCGCACCGCCAGGGUCUCCGGGUUGAUAGCUUGAGCCACCGAGUAAUCGGUGGCCUAGAUGGAUGGCCGCCCCUCCCGCAAGGGGGGACAGAACCCGGCUUACAGACCAUCUCGCCGA